This 26-nucleotide non-coding RNA is filed under the name Mus musculus (house mouse). The record is from RNAcentral. Lineage: Eukaryota; Metazoa; Chordata; Mammalia; Rodentia; Muridae.
UGCCAUCUGCAGUGAGGAGAACAGGA